GGUUGCAGAGAGGAAGUAGACCUGUGUAAGAGGAAUCAACUACCCCGAGAGUGUGAAUUAAGCUGCAACAGCUCUCUCGAUUUGAAGAAAUGCUUCGGCCGUUUUGGGAGGGUCCUCCCGUGCAUCUUGGAGUGUGUGAGCGAAGAGUGCCGUCAGUCUUCAGAGAGUGAGUGCCACCACGAGACUCCUUUCUGAACGUCUAUCACCAAAUUGCUUGUGUGUUCCUUUCUUGACUCUCCCUCUCCUUCCUCUUCUCCCCUCCAGCUGGUCGCCAUGGUGACACUCAGGCACGCAUCCCUGGGUGUGUCUGCAUAUACUACAAGCGGACGCACAAGUUGGGUCCCGUCUGUCCAGACCGGUUUUGCUGGGAGACGGUUCCAAUGAACAGAGACAUGAGAACCCAACAGCACCUCCCGGCCUUACUGGUGCCCCUGACACUCAUUCUUCUCCAGUCGUAAUCUUUCCUUUUCUCCAUUUCUCUCCUUGUCUUUCUCUGAUCGGCUAUACAACCUAAAAAAAAAAGGCAUUAACGUAUGUAUCAAACAUAACAUUGACAAUAUAUCUAAAAUAAAAUAAAAU
Long non-coding RNA from Clupea harengus (Atlantic herring), 579 nucleotides. RefSeq lists it as uncharacterized. Lineage: Eukaryota; Metazoa; Chordata; Actinopteri; Clupeiformes; Clupeidae. The record is from RefSeq and is a predicted model, not a curated record. The transcript is spliced from 2 exons.